CAUAGGUUAAUGAGGCGAACCGGGGGAACUGAAACAUCUAAGUACCCCGAGGAAAAGAAAUCAACCGAGAUUCCCCCAGUAGCGGCGAGCGAACGGGGAGCAGCCCAGAGCCUGAAUCAGUAUGUGUGUUAGUGGAAGCGUCUGGAAAGGCGCGCGAUACAGGGUGACAGCCCCGUACACAAAAAUGCACAUGCUGUGAGCUCGAUGAGUAGGGCGGGACACGUGGUAUCCUGUCUGAAUAUGGGGGGACCAUCCUCCAAGGCUAAAUACUCCUGACUGACCGAUAGUGAACCAGUACCGUGAGGGAAAGGCGAAAAGAACCCCGGCGAGGGGAGUGAAAAAGAACCUGAAACCGUGUACGUACAAGCAGUGGGAGCACGCUUAGGCGUGUGACUGCGUACCUUUUGUAUAAUGGGUCAGCGACUUAUAUUCUGUAGCAAGGUUAACCGAAUAGGGGAGCCGAAGGGAAACCGAGUCUUAACUGGGCGUUAAGUUGCAGGGUAUAGACCCGAAACCCGGUGAUCUAGCCAUGGGCAGGUUGAAGGUUGGGUAACACUAACUGGAGGACCGAACCGACUAAUGUUGAAAAAUUAGCGGAUGACUUGUGGCUGGGGGUGAAAGGCCAAUCAAACCGGGAGAUAGCUGGUUCUCCCCGAAAGCUAUUUAGGUAGCGCCUCGUGAAUUCAUCUCCGGGGGUAGAGCACUGUUUCGGCAAGGGGGUCAUCCCGACUUACCAACCCGAUGCAAACUGCGAAUACCGGAGAAUGUUAUCACGGGAGACACACGGCGGGUGCUAACGUCCGUCGUGAAGAGGGAAACAACCCAGACCGCCAGCUAAGGUCCCAAAGUCAUGGUUAAGUGGGAAACGAUGUGGGAAGGCCCAGACAGCCAGGAUGUUGGCUUAGAAGCAGCCAUCAUUUAAAGAAAGCGUAAUAGCUCACUGGUCGAGUCGGCCUGCGCGGAA
Molecule: ribosomal RNA, 964 nt
Filed under: Escherichia coli
Lineage: Bacteria; Pseudomonadati; Pseudomonadota; Gammaproteobacteria; Enterobacterales; Enterobacteriaceae
Description: partial 23S ribosomal RNA
Rfam family: Bacterial large subunit ribosomal RNA
Source: RNAcentral